GAUACUCGUACUUCUUUUACAGAUAUGGCUUAAUAAAAAUGCAUUAAACAAAUGUGAACUCCUGAGGCCUUCCUAUAAUCAUUAAAUACAUGUGCGGGGAUCUAAUAAUAGGUCUCUAAUCAGUCAUAGUACGCAUGUAUUCCUUGCCUUAAUAGUUGCACAAACUCAAUAUGAAAAUACAUGUGCAUUUGCUUAGAAAAGAAUGCUAAAAACUUUUUUUUUGUCUUUUUUUCUUUUUUUUUUGCAAAAUACUUCCCUCCCCCCAACUUAAACAUUGCAUUGUCCUCAAUGUAAUAGAUACAAGAAAAUUAUAAUGAAAGAUAGUAGAGAAAAUAAUAUUGGAGAGAAGAGGAAUACCUUGAGCUGUUGAUAUCCAGAAAAUAAAACCUACAAAACUAGAAAAAUAAUCCUAACUAAUAUACACAUACCUUUGCCUUCAUGUUUAGUCAUAAGAAGGCUCCCCCAAGAAAAAGGAGUCUUCUUCAUCUGCAAAAUUCUCAAGAAAAGGUUUAAGUCUGUGUCCAUUUACCUUAAAAAUUCUACCAUCCCGUGG
RNAcentral lists this long non-coding RNA (553 nucleotides) under Phoenix dactylifera (date palm). Its description in RNAcentral is "long non-coding RNA (PDAC_LNC020104)". Lineage: Eukaryota; Viridiplantae; Streptophyta; Magnoliopsida; Arecales; Arecaceae. The record is from RNAcentral.